This 23-nucleotide non-coding RNA is filed under the name Cricetulus griseus (Chinese hamster). The record is from RNAcentral. Lineage: Eukaryota; Metazoa; Chordata; Mammalia; Rodentia; Cricetidae.
GGAAUAGAUCCCUGUAGAAUAUC